Long non-coding RNA from Triticum aestivum (bread wheat), 404 nucleotides. RefSeq lists it as uncharacterized. The record is from RefSeq and is a predicted model, not a curated record. The transcript has 2 exons. Lineage: Eukaryota; Viridiplantae; Streptophyta; Magnoliopsida; Poales; Poaceae.
UGCUUUAGUGGGCACCAGAACGAACUCUGAGAGAGCUACAGAAGACAUUCCAAAAGCUGAAGGUUGGCAAUCCAUAAGCGGAAGUUCAACUUCAACGAGCUUCAUUGAAAGGGUCCCCAGAGGUAUGCACAAGCCACCUAUAAAAAAUGUGUACACAAGGAGAGAUCGGAAGCAAAAAGAAUCGACAGAAGGUUCCACUUUGUUUGCUGACAUCAGUUCUAACAGUGCCCAUGAAGGCAUACAGAAGCCACCUAUAAAAAUUGUAUUCGAGAGAAGAAGUGAUCCCAAGCAAAAAGGAUCCACAGGGGGGCAACUUGCUUCAAAGGAACUGAACAAAGGAAUGAACCCAGGGAGCAGCAGUCACGCCACAAGGAUUGCAACCUUAACAUGCAAUAUGUUGGACU